AAGAAUUUACACGUCGGGUUUUGUGAAAAACCAUGGGAAUAAAUUACUUAAGAAAAUAGAAAAGCGUCAUACUCUACGAAAUUCAUGCAAAUGACACUACCCCUCGGUUGGGAAAAGUAACCGUUGGAAAAUAAAUAAAAAAAUUUAAAAUAUUUAACAGAAAAAUAAAGGCAUUUGAAAAUGCUAUUUUCGCAAUUCAAAAUAAAUAGAAAAGGGCAAAAGGGAAAGACGUCAACUAAGAAAUCUUAACGCUUGAUCCCUAAGGCAAUUGGAA
RNAcentral lists this long non-coding RNA (274 nucleotides) under Lathyrus oleraceus (garden pea). RNAcentral's name for it is "Pisum sativum (pea) long non-coding RNA (PSAT_LNC002969)". The record is from RNAcentral. Lineage: Eukaryota; Viridiplantae; Streptophyta; Magnoliopsida; Fabales; Fabaceae.